Molecule: ribosomal RNA, 253 nt
Filed under: uncultured bacterium
Lineage: Bacteria
Description: partial 16S ribosomal RNA
Rfam family: Bacterial small subunit ribosomal RNA
Source: RNAcentral
UACAGGGGGUGCAAACGUUGCUCGGAAUCAUUGGGCGUAAAGCGCACGUAGGCGGUUUGUUAUGUCGGAUGUGAAAGCCCUUGGCUCAACUGAGGAAGUGCAUCCGAAACUGGCAAGCUAGAGUACUAAAGAGGGUCGCGGAAUUCCCGGUGUAGAGGUGAAAUUCGCAGAUAUCGGGAGGAACACCGGUGGCGAAGGCGGCGACCUGGGUAGAUACUGACGCUGAGGUGCGAAAGCGUGGGGAGCAAACAGG